RNAcentral lists this ribosomal RNA (996 nucleotides) under uncultured bacterium. RNAcentral's name for it is "bacterial SSU rRNA". It matches the Rfam family "Bacterial small subunit ribosomal RNA", at positions 356 to 1376 of the family's 1533-position model. The record is from RNAcentral.
GGGGGAUAUUGCACAAUGGGGGAAACCCUGAUGCAGCGACGCCGCGUGGAGGAAGAAGGUUUUCGGAUUGUAAACUCCUGUCGUUAGGGACGAUAAUGACGGUACCUAACAAGAAAGCACCGGCUAACUACGUGCUAGCAGCCGCGGUAAAACGUAGGGUGCAAGCGUUGUCCGGAAUUACUGGGUGUAAAGGGAGCGCAGGCGGGAAGACAAGUUGGAAGUGAAAACCAUGGGCUCAACCCAUGAAUUGCUUUCAAAACUGUUUUUCUUGAGUAGUGCAGAGGUAGAUGGAAUUCCCGGUGUAGCGGUGGAAUGCGUAGAUAUCGGGAGGAACACCAGUGGCGAAGGCGGUCUACUGGGCACCAACUGACGCUGAGGCUCGAAAGCAUGGGUAGCAAACAGGAUUAGAUACCCUGGUAGUCCAUGCCGUAAACGAUGAUUACUAGGUGUUGGGGGAUUGACCCCCUCAGUGCCGCAGUUAACACAAUAAGUAAUCCACCUGGGGAGUACGACCGCAAGGUUGAAACUCAAAGGAAUUGACGGGGGCCCGCACAAGCAGUGGAGUAUGUGGUUUAAUUCGAAGCAACGCGAAGAACCUUACCAGGUCUUGACAUCCGAUGCAUAGCACAGAGAUGUGUGAAAUCCUUCGGGACAUCGAGACAGGUGGUGCAUGGUUGUCGUCAGCUCGUGUCGUGAGAUGUUGGGUUAAGUCCCGCAACGAGCGCAACCCUUAUUGCCAGUUACUACGUUAAGAGGACUCUGGCGAGACUGCCGUUGACAAAACGGAGGAAGGUGGGGAUGACGUCAAAUCAUCAUGCCCUUUAUGACCUGGGCUACACACGUACUACAAUGGCGUUAAACAAAGAGAAGCAAGACCGCGAGGUGGAGCAAAACUCAAAAACCAGUCCCAGUUCGGACUGCAGGCUGAAACUCGCCUGCACGAAGUUGGAGUUGCUAGUAAUCGUGGAUCAGAAUGCCACGGUGAAUGCGUUCCCG